AGUAGCGGCGAGCGAACGGGGAUUAGCCCUUAAGUUAAUACAUUGUUAGUGGAACAGUCUGGAAAGUCUGGCGAUACAGGGUGAUAGCCCCGUACACGAAAACGUGUAUUAGUGAAAACGAGUAGGUCGGAGCACGUGAAACUUUGACUGAACAUGGGGGGACCAUCCUCCAAGGCUAAAUACUCCUUACUGACCGAUAGUGAACCAGUACCGUGAGGGAAAGGCGAAAAGAACCCCGGAGAGGGGAGUGAAAUAGAUCCUGAAACCGUAUGCGUACAAGCAGUGGGAGCACCCUCGUGGUGUGACUGCGUACCUUUUGUAUAAUGGGUCAGCGACUUAAUCUCAGUGGCAAGCUUAACCGAAUAGGGGAGGCGUAGCGAAAGCGAGUCUUAAUAGGGCGUUUAGUCGCUGGGAUUAGACCCGAAACCGGGCGAUCUAUCCAUGACCAGGCUGAAGGUGAGGUAAUACUUACUGGAGGGCCGAACCCACGUAUGUUGAAAAAUCCGGGGAUGAGUUGUGGAUCGGAGUGAAAGGCUAAUCAAGCUCGGAGAUAGCUGGUUCUCCUCGAAAGCUAUUUAGGUAGCGCCUCGUGUAUAACUGUUGGGGGUAGAGCACUGUUUCGGCUAGGGGGUCAUCUCGACUUACCAACCCGAUGCAAACUCCGAAUACCAACAAGUUUGAGCACGGGAGACACACGGCGGGUGAUAAGGUCCGUCGUGGAAAGGGAAACAGCCCAGACCGUCAGCUAAGGUCCCAAAAUCUAUGCUCAGUGGGAAACGAUGUGGAAAGGCACAGACAGCCAGGAGGUUGGCUUAGAAGCAGCCAUCCUUUAAAGAAAGCGUAAUAGCUCACUGGUC
This 857-nucleotide small RNA is filed under the name uncultured bacterium. Its description in RNAcentral is "bacterial LSU rRNA". It matches the Rfam family "Bacterial large subunit ribosomal RNA", at positions 242 to 1150 of the family's 2925-position model. The record is from RNAcentral.